UUGGAGGGCAAGUCUGGUGCCAGCAGCCGCGGUAAUUCCAGCUCCAAUAGCGUAUAUUAAAGUUGUUGCAGUUAAAAAGCUCGUAGUUGAAUUUCGGAACUUUUUUAUCGGUUGAAUCAACAGGUUCGUACUGAUUUUAAGAAUUUCUACCUUCUGGAGAACCUUAAUGUCAUUAAUUUGGUGUUUUGGGAAACCAGGACUGUUACCUUGAAAAAAUUAGAGUGUUUAAAGCAGGCUUAUGUCUGAAUAUAUUAGCAUGGAAUAAUGAAAUAGGACGGCAUGGUUCUAUUUUGUUGGUUUCUAGGAUCACCGUAAUGAUUAAUAGGGAUAGUUGGGGGCAUUAGUAUUCAAUUGUCAGAGGUGAAAUUCUUGGAUUUAUUGAAGACUAACUUCUGCGGAAGCAUUUGCCAAGGAUGUUUUCAUUAAUCAAGAACGAAAGUUAGGGGAUCGAAGACGAUCAGAUACCGUCGUAGUCUUAACCAUAAACUAUGCCGACUAGGAAUCGGACGAAGUUAAUUUUUUAAUGACUCGUUCGGCGCCUUACGGGAAACCAAAGUGUUUGGGUUC
Molecule: ribosomal RNA, 567 nt
Filed under: uncultured Glomeromycotina
Lineage: Eukaryota; Fungi; Glomeromycota
Description: SSU rRNA
Rfam family: Eukaryotic small subunit ribosomal RNA
Source: RNAcentral